Molecule: ribosomal RNA, 400 nt
Filed under: uncultured Acidobacteriota bacterium
Lineage: Bacteria; Pseudomonadati; Acidobacteriota
Description: bacterial SSU rRNA
Rfam family: Bacterial small subunit ribosomal RNA
Source: RNAcentral
AUGAAGGCCUUCGGGUUGUAAACCCCUUUCGGCCGGGACGAUAAUGACGGUACCCGUAGAAGAAGCCCCGGCUAACUUCGUGCCAGCAGCCGCGGUAAUACGAAGGGGGCAAGCGUUGUUCGGAAUUAUUGGGCGUAAAGGGUGCGUAGGCGGUUCUGUAAGUCUGGUGUGAAAUCUCCGGGCUCAACUCGGAGUCUGCCCGGGAAACUGCCGGGCUUGAGUGUGGGAGAGGUGAGUGGAAUUCCGGGUGUAGCGGUGAAAUGCGUAUAUAUCUGGAGGAACACCUGUGGCGAAAGCGGCUCACUGGACCAUUACUGACGCUGAUGCACGAAAGCUUGGGGAGCAAACAGGAUUAGAUACCCUGGUAGUCCACGCCCUAAACGAUGAAUGCUUGGUGUGA